CGGCCGUCUCACAUUUAAACACUGAAUCUCGUACGAUUUUCGAAGUUAAGCAAGAUCGAGCCUGGUCAGUAUCUAGAUGGGUGACCACUUGGGUAUAUCAGGUCUUGUA
Acanthosepion pharaonis is the source of this 109-nucleotide non-coding RNA. The record is from the annotation of a GenBank genome assembly. NCBI's taxonomy places the organism in Eukaryota, Metazoa, Mollusca, Cephalopoda, Sepiida, Sepiidae.